This 494-nucleotide ribosomal RNA is filed under the name Macrobinthus wilhelmsis. RNAcentral's name for it is "partial large subunit ribosomal RNA". It matches the Rfam family "Bacterial large subunit ribosomal RNA", at positions 1832 to 2582 of the family's 2925-position model. The record is from RNAcentral. Lineage: Eukaryota; Metazoa; Arthropoda; Insecta; Orthoptera; Gryllidae.
UCUUCUUGUAUUAAUUAGAAGUCGGACCUGUCCACUGAUUUAUUGAAGGGCCGCGGUAUUUUGACCGUGCAAAGGUAGCAUAAUCAUUAGUCUUUUAAUUGAAGGCUGGAAUGAAUGGUUUGACGAAGUAAUAUCUGUCUCUAAUAUAAAUUAAUUGAAAUUCAUUUUUGAGUUAAAAGGCUUAAAUAUCAAUAAGGGACGAGAAGACCCUAUAGAUCUUAAUAAUAUAUUUUAUUAUGAUAAUUUUAGAUGUUAAAGUUUUUUAAUAAAUUAUAUUAUUUUGUUGGGGUGAUAUAAGAAUAUUAUAACUUCUUAAAUUUUAACUUUUAUGGAAGGAUAAAAAGAUCCUUUAAUAUGGAAUGAAGAUUAAGAUACCUUAGGGAUAACAGCGUAAUCUUGUUGGAGAGUUCUUAUUGAUAAUAAGGAUUGCGACCUCGAUGUUGGAUUAAGGAAAUAUAUGUAUUGGUGUAGAUGCUUAUAAUAUUGGUCUGUUC